UACGUAGGGGGCAAGCGUUGUCCGGAUUUAUUGGGCGUAAAGGGCUUGUAGGCGGCCAACUAAGUCCGACGUGAAAUCCCCAGGCUUAACCUGGGAACUGCGUCGGAUACUGGAUGGCUUGAAUUCGGGAGAGGGAUGCAGAAUUCCAGGUGUAGCGGUGAAAUGCGUAGAUAUCUGGAGGAAUACCGGUGGCGAAGGCGGCAUCCUGGACCGACAUUGACGCUGAGGAGCGAAAGCUAGGGGAGCAAACGGG
Molecule: ribosomal RNA, 253 nt
Filed under: uncultured bacterium
Lineage: Bacteria
Description: partial 16S ribosomal RNA
Rfam family: Bacterial small subunit ribosomal RNA
Source: RNAcentral